Non-coding RNA from Plectropomus leopardus (leopard coralgrouper), 297 nucleotides. NCBI's taxonomy places the organism in Eukaryota, Metazoa, Chordata, Actinopteri, Perciformes, Serranidae. The record is from RefSeq and is a predicted model, not a curated record.
CUCCUCAUGUGGCUCAGGACUGCAGCGUGCUGCAGGAGGCCUACCUGUUGUUCCACAGCUUCCUGGCCUGGCCUGAGCCGUGCAGCUCCGCCAGUAAACGGCUGCUGAUGAUCAUCCAGCAGGAGCUCAGAGCUCCAGGUAUUUCAUUUCAGAGGCUGGUUCGGACAGAGCAGGGUGUUUCCCCUAAUAUUCACUGCUCUAAGACCAUGACGGUGCUGUUAGUGAGCUCAGACGAGGACGUCCCUCCGGAGGUCCAGUCUGUGUCGGAGCAGCUGAGCAGCACCCAGCACUCCAGCA